Gasterosteus aculeatus aculeatus (three-spined stickleback) is the source of this 1182-nucleotide long non-coding RNA. RefSeq lists it as uncharacterized. The record is from RefSeq and is a predicted model, not a curated record. NCBI's taxonomy places the organism in Eukaryota, Metazoa, Chordata, Actinopteri, Perciformes, Gasterosteidae.
UUCGUUUCCGGAAACCUUUAGCACCAGCUUCAGAGGUCUCUCUCCGUACUCUGCGGAUACCAAGUCAACCAGCCGCAUUACAGACCGAACCGUGGGCAUCUGAUGACGGACCCGUGACAGCAGUCGCUAGUAGCUAACGUUAGCUUAUCUGGCAGGCAUUGCCAGUGCAGUUACAACGUACAGCUAACGCUGACCGGUAAUACAUCGCUGCCUGCCUUGUAUUCGUAAGGACUUGGGGUAUAUCGACAGAGGAAUUAGGUAAGUAAGCAUGUAACGUUACAUCGGCCUGUGCGGCUAACUUUAGCCUAGCAGCACGGUGGUGGAUAAGCUCGGUUAUGGUCGUGCUAACACAGCUAACAAUGGCGGGGGCUUUCAGCAAUGUAUUCAAAUCAGCAAACAGUUCAAGCGGUUGAUUGCUCGGCGAGUGUGGAAAUGAAAUACCUUCAUAUCCGUGUUUUUCGGACUUGUGCUUUUUGUGCUUCUUGCCCAUUGUUUGUAUUUUGAUCCGGGCACAGGCUGCUCGCUCUCUCUGAUCUGAUGGCGGAAGCACUGCUGCGCGGUGAGCGACUGCGCAGAUGCACGCCGGCCUCGACCGCCCCCUGCCGGCGAGGCGGUAGAACCGCGAUGUGACCCGGCCACCUUCAUCCUCGGAGCAAAUCCCACAAGGUCACGUGUACCUUUCCACUCGCGUAAUACACAUUCAGAAAGUCGGGGACGAGUGCAGCGGGGGAACGAGCUUACUCUCGGGCCUGAGGAGAGAAAGGUCCGGAUGCAAAACCACUUCCGGGCGGCCGGCUGCAGACCCGCAGAGGCCGUGGGAUCCAUCUCCUUCAUUCUAGCCGCGGCGCUGCUCACACGUUGGAAGUCCGCGGAUUAAAAAAAGGAGAUCGGUUACACCAAACAGGGCCUAACGAAUGGCAGAUGUUGUGAAUUUCAUUAUCCUCUGUCACAACACACAGGCUAAAGGGACCCAGAGACUGUUUCCACAUGAAAGAGAAAUCCCAACAAAAACCCCCAUGUGAAACCGCUUCCCACCCUGUGGACUGCAUGGAAUGGGGAUGUUUGGUCUCUUCACAUAUAAACAAAAAAAUACAAAUACAAAUGGGCACACAAAGGCGGACUUUGAAUGGGUUAUCGGUCUCGCACAUGGUUCGACUAAUAAAAAUGUGCCCUUUGACUGCA